UCGCUUCCCACACAGUCCACUCGCAGCAGCAGCACUGCACCACUACUACCAGUGCGCCAGUCCAGCCGACUUCGAGCUCGACCAGCUUCUUUCGUGACUGUCAUCCAUGGCCAUGAGGAAGGCGACGCAUCAGGUGAUCCGGGCCUUGGAGCCGUCCCUCACCAGGAGCCUCCAUGCAUCCCCGGGCAGCAAGAAGAUCGUGGGCGUGUUCUACAAGGGCGGCGAGCACGCGGGGCAGAACCCCAACUUCGUUGGUUGCGUGGAGAACGCGCUGGGCAUCCGCAGCUGGCUCGAGUCGCAGGGCCACCAGUACAUCGUCACCGACGACAAGGACGGCCCCAACUGCGAGCUGGAGAAGCACAUGGCGGACGCGCACGUGCUCAUCACCACGCCGUUCCACCCGGCGUACGUGAGCGCGGACCGGAUCAGGCGCGGCAAGAACCUGGAGCUGCUCCUCACGGCGGGGAUCGGCUCCGACCACAUCGAGCUGCCGGCGGCGGCGGCCGCGGGGCUCCGUCGCCGAGGUCACGGGCAGCAACACGGUGUCGGUGGCGGAGGACCAGCCGAUGCGCAUCCUCGUCCUCAUGCGCAACUUCCUGCCGGGCCACCACCAGGCCAUCAGCGGGGAGUGGGACCUCGCCGGGAUCGCGCACCGGGCCUACGACCUGGAGGGCAAGACGGUGGGCACCGUAGGCGCCGGCCGCAUCGGAAAGCUGCUGCUCCGGCGCCUCAAGCCCUUCGGCUGCAACCUGCUCUACCACGACAGGCUCCGCGUCGACGCCGCGCUCGAGGAGGACCUCGGCGCCGCCUUCGAGGAGGACCUCGACGCCAUGCUGCCCAAGUGCGAUGUCGUCGUGCUCAACAUGCCGCUCACCGAGAAGACAAAGGGCAUGUUCAACAAGGAGAAGAUCGCCAAGAUGAAGAAAGGCGUCAUCAUCGUGAACAAUGCUCGUGGAGCGAUCAUGGACACGCAGGCAGUGGCAGACGCUUGCAAAAGUGGGCACAUCGCUGGGUACGGCGGCGACGUGUGGUACCCGCAGCCGGCGCCCAAGGAGCACCCAUGGAGGUACAUGCCCAACAAUGCCAUGACCCCUCACAUCUCCGGCACCACCAUUGACGGCCAGCUGAGGUACGCCGCCGGUGUGAAGGACAUGCUGGAGAGGUACUUCAAGGGGCAGGACUUCCCGGAGCCCAACUACAUUGUCAAGGAAGGCAAGCUCGCCAGCCAGUACCAGUGAGCAUCCAUCCAUCCAUGGAGCCGAAGCUGCACGCCUGCACGGAUCGUCUUGUGCCAGUUCAGGAAACUAAAUAAAGGAUGCUUGGUCGUUGCAGUGGCCAUCAGCUAUAAAUGUACACACCAAAAUAAAAUGGAACAAAAGCUGGUUGCUUUGAUUUGCAACCAGCUUCCUUCACUGUAUUUGGUUUGAAUUAUAAUAAAGUCAAAUUGUUGUGCAAA
RNA transcript from Hordeum vulgare subsp. vulgare (domesticated barley), 1456 nucleotides. It is a transcript of the gene named formate dehydrogenase 2, mitochondrial-like, with no coding region annotated. The record is from RefSeq and is a predicted model, not a curated record. The transcript is spliced from 6 exons. Lineage: Eukaryota; Viridiplantae; Streptophyta; Magnoliopsida; Poales; Poaceae.